UACGUAGGGGGCAAGCGUUGUCCGGAUUUAUUGGGCGUAAAGAGCGUGUAGGCGGCUUGGCAAGUCCGCUGUGAAAACUCGAGGCUCAACCUCGAGACGUCGGUGGAAACUGCCUCGCUAGAGUCCGGAAGAGGAGAGUGGAAUUCCUGGUGUAGCGGUGAAAUGCGCAGAUAUCAGGAAGAACACCCGUGGCUAAGGCGGCUCUCUAGUACGGUACUGACGCUGAGACGCGAAAGCGUGGGGAGCGAAC
This 250-nucleotide ribosomal RNA is filed under the name uncultured bacterium. RNAcentral's name for it is "partial 16S ribosomal RNA". It matches the Rfam family "Bacterial small subunit ribosomal RNA", at positions 524 to 773 of the family's 1533-position model. The record is from RNAcentral.